Long non-coding RNA from Notolabrus celidotus (New Zealand spotty), 483 nucleotides. RefSeq lists it as uncharacterized. The transcript has 2 exons. The record is from RefSeq and is a predicted model, not a curated record. Lineage: Eukaryota; Metazoa; Chordata; Actinopteri; Labriformes; Labridae.
GAGGCGGGAAGAGUAAAUGUCAUGGAGGGAGGUGAGAGAGGCACCAACAAUCUUCUCAGCUGUUCUCACAAUGCGCUGGAGAGUCAUUCGGCAGGACCCAGUGCAGGCCCUGUACCACAUAAUGAUGUUGCUGAGGCUGGUGGAGGUGUGGAGGUGUGGAGUGUGGAAGUGUCCCCUCUAAUGACGUGCAGCUGUUUCUCAUCUGUGGCAAUCAGUGGCUGCUCUUAAGCUCCUGCUCUGGGUCCUGCAAGCUGCCAGUUUGUGCCAGCUUCUCAGCAGUGUCCUGGCUUUCUCCUGUGUGGAAGCUUUCAUAGAAGUUUCAACUGUCUUGUGAUUUUGCUCAUCCUGCUUUGCUCGUCUCCACACUGCUCUCAGCAAUUCCACCACCAACUAUGCAACUCACCAACGUCUGAAAGAACUCUGUUUUCAGGAUCCCUGUCAAGUUCACUCGGUUUUGUAUUAAAAUCCCCUUUACCACUUACA